UUGGAGGGCAAGUCUGGUGCCAGCAGCCGCGGUAAUUCCAGCUCCAAUAGCGUAUAUUAAAGUUGUUGCAGUUAAAAAGCUCGUAGUUGAAUUUCGGAGUUUGUCGGUUGGUCGGGCUUCAUUGUCCGCACUGGCCUGAUGGAUUCCUACCUUCUGAAUAACCAGCAUGCUAUUAAGUUAGUGCGUUGGGGAAGCAGAGCUAUUACCUUGAAAAAAUUAGAGUGCUUAAAGCAGGCUUAUGCUUGAAUAGAUUAGCAUGGAAUAAUAAAAUAGGACGGCAUGGUUCUAUUUUGUUGGUUCCUAGGAUCACCGUAAUGAUUAAUAGGGAUAGUUGGGGGCAUUAGUAUUCAAUUGUCAGAGGUGAAAUUCUUGGAUUUAUUGAAGACUAACUUCUGCGAAAGCAUUUGCCAAGGAUGUUUUCAUUAAUCAAGAACGAAAGUUAGGGGAUCGAAGACGAUCAGAUACCGUCGUAGUCUUAACCAUAAACUAUGCCGACUAGGGAUCGGACGAUGUUAAUUUUUUAAUGACUCGUUCGGCGCCUUACGGGAAAC
This 551-nucleotide ribosomal RNA is filed under the name uncultured Glomeromycotina. RNAcentral describes it as "SSU rRNA". It matches the Rfam family "Eukaryotic small subunit ribosomal RNA", at positions 548 to 1098 of the family's 1831-position model. The record is from RNAcentral. Lineage: Eukaryota; Fungi; Glomeromycota.